Mycena capillaripes is the source of this 124-nucleotide non-coding RNA. Lineage: Eukaryota; Fungi; Basidiomycota; Agaricomycetes; Agaricales; Mycenaceae. The record is from the annotation of a GenBank genome assembly.
GGUUGGAUGGCCGAGCGGUCUAAGGCGCCAGACUAAGGAUCAGCUUCUAUGAAGCUCAACUUACUGGCAUUCACUUGCAGUAAUCUGGUCCGAAAGGGCGUGGGUUCGAAUCCCACUCCAAUCA